RNAcentral lists this ribosomal RNA (253 nucleotides) under uncultured bacterium. Its description in RNAcentral is "partial 16S ribosomal RNA". It matches the Rfam family "Bacterial small subunit ribosomal RNA", at positions 524 to 776 of the family's 1533-position model. The record is from RNAcentral.
UACAGAGGUCUCAAGCGUUGUUCGGAUUCAUUGGGCGUAAAGGGUGCGUAGGUGGCGGGGUAAGUCUGGUGUGAAAUCUCGGGGCUCAACCCCGAAACUGCACUGGAUACUGCCUUGCUAGAGUACUGGAGAGGAGAUUGGAAUUUACGGUGUAGCAGUGAAAUGCGUAGAUAUCGGGAGGAACACCGGCGGCGAAGGCGGCCCUCUGGACGGUGACUGACGCUAAGACGCGAAAGCGUGGGGAGCAAACAGG